AUUGAACGCUGGCGGCAGGCUUAACACAUGCAAGUCGAGCGAGCGGCGGACGGGUGAGUUAUGUUUGCGAAACUGCCUGAUGGAGGGGGAUAACUACUGGAAACGGUAGCUAAUACCGCAUACCAUCAGAUGUGCCCAGAUGGGAUUAGCUAGUAGGUGGGGUAAUGGCUCACCUAGGCGUCGAUCCCUGGCUGGUCUAAGAGGAUGACCAGCCGCUCUGGAACUGAGACACGAUCCGGACUCCUACGGAAGGCAGCAGUGGGGAAUAUUGAACAAUGGGCGCAGGCCUGAUGCAGCCAUGCCACGUGUGUGAAGAGGGCCUUCGGGUUGUAAAGCACUUUCAGCGAGGAGGCGUUACUCGCAGAAGAAGCACCGGCUAACUCCGUGCCAGCAGCCGCGGUAAUAC
RNAcentral lists this ribosomal RNA (406 nucleotides) under uncultured bacterium. Its description in RNAcentral is "partial 16S ribosomal RNA". It matches the Rfam family "Bacterial small subunit ribosomal RNA", at positions 30 to 526 of the family's 1533-position model. The record is from RNAcentral.